This 371-nucleotide ribosomal RNA is filed under the name uncultured organism. RNAcentral's name for it is "bacterial SSU rRNA". It matches the Rfam family "Bacterial small subunit ribosomal RNA", at positions 526 to 896 of the family's 1533-position model. The record is from RNAcentral.
CGAAGGGGGCUAGCGUUGUUCGGAUUUACUGGGCGUAAAGCGCACGUAGGCGGAUUGUUAAGUCAGGGGUGAAAUCCUGGAGCUCAACUCCAGAACUGCCUUUGAUACUGGCAAUCUAGAGUCCGGAAGAGGUGAGUGGAACUCCUAGUGUAGAGGUGGAAUUCGUAGAUAUUAGGAAGAACACCAGUGGCGAAGGCGGCUCACUGGUCCGGUACUGACGCUGAAGGUGCGAAAGCGUGGGGAGCAAACAGGAUUAGAUACCCUGGUAGUCCACGCCGUAAACUAUGGAAGCUAGCCGUUGGGGAGUUUACUCCUCAGUGGCGCAGCUAACGCAUUAAGCUUCCCGCCUGGGGAGUACGGUCGCAAGAUUA